This is a non-coding RNA of Acanthosepion pharaonis, 98 nucleotides long. NCBI's taxonomy places the organism in Eukaryota, Metazoa, Mollusca, Cephalopoda, Sepiida, Sepiidae. The record is from the annotation of a GenBank genome assembly.
GUUGAAACACCGAUUCCCGUGCGAUCACCAAAGUUAAGCAACAUCAAGCCUGGUCAGUACCUAGAUGGGUGACCACUUGGGGCCACCUGGCGCUGAAA